AGGAAGUGUCUUCUUUCCCCUAGAUCUCCGCACGGGGAUCAGUUGUUAAGUUAGUCUGAAUCUUCAUCCUGGAACACUUACACAUCUUUACAUCCAGAUGAGAAGCUUUCAAUUAGAAUCGCCACCACGUACGAUAAAUCAGCAGCUUGAGUUUAACCCAAAACCAAUGUUGAUGAUGCCAUCAAGAUACUGACUGGAUCCACCGAGGUUAUCUCCUCCAAUCCUUAGAUUCCUGCUUCAGGUCAAUCAAUCAACGAGAUGAUUAUCUAGCAAGGAACAAAGGUCAAGGAUAUCUCUUAAAGAUGAGAUUUGAGUUCAGAGAAUUGGAUGCAUCGGCAAUUGUGGCGAACGUUUCGAUAAACGUACCAAGAAGGAUCAGAUUAUUAAAAGAAAAUUCCCUGGUACUGAAGAAAAAGAAGACAUGCAAUGGCCCAUCUGACACUUUUAUCAGAAUCAAAGGACAGGAUACAACCGUUAAACUCAUUAUCAAAAAGUCCAAAUGGAAGAGCAUUCCCCUGCCUUCAGACAUGGACAAAAAGCAGAACAGAUUCCCUGUCAGGGGAGGGCUGUUCUUUCCCCAAAAUGGAGGGUCUCGUCUGCUUAAUUAAAAAUUUGGACUUGGGAGUUUGCCAGAAGAAACUCAUCGACCAAGCCAGGGAACUGGCCCUUUGACGGGGCCUUGCUCUCCUGAGAAGUUGCUCUGACCACUGAAAGCGACAGUAGAGUGGAAAUCCGAUCCCCAGAAUACCGGCUACCGAUUGGCCCAGGCCGAGGGCUGAGGAGAGUCACUUCUCAGAAAGAAAUCCCUCAGUCAAGAAACACUGGGGGGGCGGGGGGAUUCAUUUCCCUGCUGCCCUUUCCCAGAUCAAAAGCCAACGCUGUCCAUGCUUUCUUGGUAGGAGUACAUGGCAGUGAUUCAACCCUCCAAGCAAAGUCACAAGAAAUGUAAUUAAAAAAAUAUUCAAUUCUC
Ornithorhynchus anatinus (platypus) is the source of this 970-nucleotide long non-coding RNA. RefSeq lists it as uncharacterized. NCBI's taxonomy places the organism in Eukaryota, Metazoa, Chordata, Mammalia, Monotremata, Ornithorhynchidae. The record is from RefSeq and is a predicted model, not a curated record. The transcript is spliced from 4 exons.